Long non-coding RNA from Centruroides sculpturatus (bark scorpion), 575 nucleotides. RefSeq lists it as uncharacterized. The record is from RefSeq and is a predicted model, not a curated record. NCBI's taxonomy places the organism in Eukaryota, Metazoa, Arthropoda, Arachnida, Scorpiones, Buthidae. The transcript is spliced from 3 exons.
AUCGUCUGGUACAGUAAAUACGAUCAUUUGCUAUACCUUUAUAUGGGUUUUCUCCCACUUUGAGUGUAUAGAAAUAAAAUUUUUUAGCUAAACAUAUUUAAACUGAAAAUACCAGGAGCCAAGCGGAAUGAAAUGAAGCUUUAAACCGAAGCCAUAAAAAUAAACAUCAAAAAAGAAAAUAAGAAAUCAAAAGAAACUUUCAUUUAUAAUUUGUCUUUUACAUAAAAAAAAAUUCUAUAUUUUGGGUUCUUGUGUAUCCUAAGCUGUUGGCUUUCUAUCUGGGUCUGACAAAUAGAAUUACUAUGCUUUAUUUUAGAAACUUUAAUAUAUAUUCUGUAUUUUAUUUUAUUUUUUCUGGCUUGAUUGACUAAUGUCUGUAUUAUAAAACUUGUCAACUUUUAUAUGUAAUAUAAAAUACUUUCAAAACAUCUAUUUAAUUGAUCAUUUAUUUUAUGAAAUAUUAUUCUAACGGAGAUUAUUAUAUAUCAAAUUCGUUCCUUAUUAUACAGUUUUUAGUUUAACAAAAUCAUGACUUUUAAGAGGACGAAUGGAACAUUUACCAAACCAGAAAAAUU